Molecule: ribosomal RNA, 501 nt
Filed under: uncultured bacterium
Lineage: Bacteria
Description: bacterial SSU rRNA
Rfam family: Bacterial small subunit ribosomal RNA
Source: RNAcentral
GAUGAACGCUAGCGGCAGGCCUAAUACAUGCAAGCCGAACGGCAAGGUUUUCAGCAAUGGGAACCCUAGAGUGGCGUAAGGGUGCGUAACACGUAUGCAAUCUACCCUUAACAGGCGGAUAGGUCCCCGAAAGGGGAAUUAAGCCGCCAUAGGAAUUUUGGAUGGCAUCAUUUGAAAUUUAAAACUACGGUGGUUAAGGAUGAGCAUGCGCAUGAUUAGUUAGUUGGCGGGGUAACGGCCCACCAAGACUUUGAUCAUUAGGGGAACUGAGAGGUUGGUCCCCCACACUGGCACUGAGAUACGGGCCAGACUCCUACGGGAGGCAGCAGUAGGGAUAUUGGACAAUGGGUGAGAGCCUGAUCCAGCCAUGCCGCGUGCAGGAAGAAAGCCUUCUGGGUUGUAAACUGUCUUUUGGCCGGGGAAUAAAAUAGCUUUGCGAAGCGAAUUGAAGGUACCUGGUGAAUAAGCCACGGCUAACUACGUGCCAGCCGCCGCCGUAAC